This 450-nucleotide ribosomal RNA is filed under the name uncultured bacterium. RNAcentral's name for it is "bacterial SSU rRNA". It matches the Rfam family "Bacterial small subunit ribosomal RNA", at positions 354 to 796 of the family's 1533-position model. The record is from RNAcentral.
GUGGGGAAUAUUGGACAAUGGGCGAAAGCCUGAUCCAGCCAUGCCGCGUGUGUGAAGAAGGUCUUCGGAUUGUAAAGCACUUUAAGUUGGGAGGAAGGGCCGUUACCUAAUACGUGAUGGUUUUGACGUUACCGACAGAAUAAGCACCGGCUAACUCUGUGCCAGCAGCCGCGGUAAUACAGAGGGUGCAAGCGUUAAUCGGAAUUACUGGGCGUAAAGCGCGCGUAGGUGGUUCGUUAAGUUGGAUGUGAAAUCCCCGGGCUCAACCUGGGAACUGCAUUCAAAACUGUCGAGCUAGAGUAUGGUAGAGGGUGGUGGAAUUUCCUGUGUAGCGGUGAAAUGCGUAGAUAUAGGAAGGAACACCAGUGGCGAAGGCGACCACCUGGACUGAUACUGACACUGAGGUGCGAAAGCGUGGGGAGCAAACAGGAUUAGAUACCCUUGUAGUCC